Molecule: long non-coding RNA, 268 nt
Organism: Sciurus carolinensis (gray squirrel)
Lineage: Eukaryota; Metazoa; Chordata; Mammalia; Rodentia; Sciuridae
Exons: 3
Source: RefSeq, a predicted model, not a curated record
AGGUGAGAGACUUUGUUGGAGCAUCUACUCCCAGUUCAUCAUGUUUUGCCUUCUCUCAGUCACAAAAGCAAGAGUCAACCAACUGUAGACUGAAACACCAGUAACUUCUACCCACAUAACAUCACAAGACGUGAAGUUCAAGAAGUGUGCACAGUUAAAGUUUGUAAACUGCAACCACUAGAAGAUAUUAGUUCCCAUGAAGGAUUUCCUAUUCCUUUUGUUCAGCUUAUUCUUCAGAAAAGAAUAAUGCAGUAUUUUAAGUAAGUAU